This 3916-nucleotide long non-coding RNA is filed under the name Citrus sinensis (sweet orange). Its description in RNAcentral is "long non-coding RNA (CSIN_LNC003664)". The record is from RNAcentral. Lineage: Eukaryota; Viridiplantae; Streptophyta; Magnoliopsida; Sapindales; Rutaceae.
AAAAGCUGAUAAACCUCUUAUGAGCUUUUAUUUGACUAUUGCAUUGGGGCCUUGCAGUUGUCGGUCCUGCUAUCAAAAUAAAGUUUGUGGAUGCAACGAGAAUCUGCAGAGAGCUGGAAUUAAUUUGAUUUUAUUUUUUGAGGACUGGUGCCGUUUGAAACCUUCAUCCGCAGCUAAAAGUCUUAAAAUCUCUAACACUCCACAAGAAACUAAAUUAAAGGAAGGGGACACUUCUUUGAUGUCUAUAUAUAUGUGUGUGUGUGUGUGUGUGCUUGCAUCAAAAAAUGAAUAUCGAAAUUUAUUUCCUUCAAUUGUAACAGAGAAAGGAAUUUAGAUGCCUCAGCUCUCGAGUCCGUACCAUUACCAAGAAUCCUUUGCUUUAUGUGCUGUGAAUAAGAAAACUUGUUCCGCAUUUAGAUUCCUCAAUCGGCAAAUGAUGAUAGUUAUGGUUUCGAAAAAUUUGUUCACAAGCUCAUCAGCGAAAGCUUGAAAGUACACAUAAAAAGGUUAUGAUCAGAGCACUGAUUUAUGAAUGCAUGCAAGGGUCGGACUUGUGCAGGCACAAUAUGCAAAAGUAAAAAUGACUUGAAAAUGGUUACCAUCUUCAAGCUUUCUGAGCAGGUAUUCAUAAAUCACGAACAAACUCAUGCUGGAUCUUGAUUACAAGUAAAAUAACGCACCCUUUUGUUUUCAUCCACAUCAGCUUUAGUCACCACUAAAAUCUUGUUAACUUCAACUGAAGUUUGAUCGAUGCCCUCAAUCCAAUUCCUAAUAUCUGAACAUGGUAAUUAAGAAGCAAAUUUUAUUUUUUAAGUAAUAAAAUUUUUUAAAAAAAAGAAUGGGAUAAAGUUUUUUGCAGAUUCUUAAUCAUCCUCUCAAAUGAAACAAGGCCAUCUUUUUAUUAACAUGUAGCCAGUUGGCUACUGAAUUUGAUCCGUGAAGAUAAGAGAAUUAUCAUGAGGAUUAGUGUUGAAGCAUGAUUCAUCCAUUACGUCGUGCAUACGCCAUUAAAAUUCCCAUGAUAGUAAGCUGUUUAUAAGAAGAUAAGAAGAUAGAAAGUCUCUUGGAAGGAAUAAAAAAAAAAAUGAACCACAAAUAGAUGUGAAAAACAAUAUUUCAGCUAUAUAUACAUAAGAAGAACUAAUAAGAAACUAAUACAUAUAAAUGAUGCUACUAAAAUAUUAGUAAGACCAAAAGAUGAGAUUAUAUAUUCACCACCAACAUGCGCAAAUUACGCAUUUUAUUAUUAUUACUUCAUGAUAUUUAAAUUAUAUAUAGAGUGCGUUUGAGAGUGACGUGAAAUAAUUGGACUACCACAAUCUAACUAUCAAGGUGUUUGGUUAUACCUUAUAACUAAACUUUAACAGUUUAGCAUUUUAAAAGUUAAGAAUUUUAUUCUAAAAUUAUAACUUUUAUUUUACAGCAGCUGCAUCUUAAAAAUUAUAAUUCCUCACUUCCAAACGGAACCAUGCACACCCAAACCAAUGGUGCAGAUAAAAGUGGUGGUGUAGAAAUUAUCACAGAAACCCGAAUCCGAAAGAAAGGCAACCUGCCCAUGCAAACAAUAGGAUUGUUCGUUAACAAUUCAACAGCUACAACCUAAAGCUAGUUAAGAGAAGUAGCAUUGACUAAUUAAUGCACCAUAAUUAUUAAUACACCUGACGUGUGAGACAAAAGCAAAAAUUAUGUUAAUUAUUGAUUAUGUCCUCUGCCUUCGCUCUAGUCUUACGUACUUAUUAAUGGAUAACAUUUAAAGUUUAAAUUAGGCAAUAACAAUUAAAGAAAACGUAACCCUUUGUAGACUCUUCUCUACAACAGUGAGAUCGAGUGAGUUUUGGACCAAAUGAAUGAAAUACAGAUAGAUCUGCAGAUAGAUACAGUGGCCUGUGCCCGCUUCACAAUGAAAAAUCCCAAUGCAAGGUGAGUUUUUUUUUUUUUUUUCCUGAGUCUUAUUAAUUUACGUAGUGCACUUGAUAAUUUAUGAUCUCUUCGCUACUCGUCGGUCGCCCUCAUUCAUUCUACUCCAUAAAAUACGGACAUAUUACUAAUCAUAAUGCCCCACAUGACAUGUUUAUUGGUCUACAAACUCACAUUUUUUCUUUAAAAUAAUGGUUAAUUACCAGCGUGUCAACUGUCAAGUACUCUCAAAUGCAAGUUGCCCGCUGAAUGUUUAAGCUACUAUAUUAAGAAAUAAAGUAUAAAUUUGUCAAUAAAUCAUGCGGAGAAGAGUUGUAAAAUGUUUGCUCCAAUUCACAAUUAGAUCCCUAAUGUUUUAAAACCUUCAUCAUUUUGGAAAUGACCAUUAAUUUUGAAUUGACCUCCUUUUAUUAGUAAAUUAAUUUCGUGUAUUUGAAUGGACGACAUUUUUUUUUUAUAUUAAACCAUCUAGUAUCCGAAAAUUAUAUUAGAUUUCGACUAAUUCAGAUUCGAGCCGGGUAGGACCACUGGGGCAGCAAAACUCUCCCAACAAGUAUUUAACGCAGCUGCAUUCCCAAGUUUCGAAUUGAGGAUCUUAGUUAAGCCAGAACAAUCUCUUGCCAAUUGAUCUACGCGCUUGUUGAUGAAUUAUAACGACAUUAAUACGAUGAAGUGCUCGCCAAAAUUAAAAUAUUAUAAUUUCCUUAUUUCAACUCAAAUUUAUACACGAAAUUCAAUAACAAAGAUACCUAGAUGUUCCUCUUCUGAAAUAGUAGAAAAGCUCUCAAUUUUUCAAACAGAAAUAAAGUAUAACUGUCCAUUAUACCAGACAAAGCUCUCAAUUUUUCAAAUAGAAAUAAAGUAUAACUGUCCAUUAUACCAGACAAACAUUAGUAGUUUGGGUCAUUGGGUGUAUGGGGAAGGCUAUACAAGUCCAAAAUACAAUGACAAGGCAAAAAAAAAAAAAAAAAAAAUUAAAAAAAAAAUACGGGAGCAACAGGCCAAUAGACUAAAAAGUGCAACUAGCUUGGAAUUCCUACUUUACAUGCAUUCUUUCACCAUUAUAAUCAUAAAAAUAACAAAAAGUUGAUUGAAAAAAUAAUGGCAUGGGCCAGCAACUUAAUGCUUCAAGCAUAUGCCAGGAAGAUCCUCUCCCCAGUAACCUAAUUAACCCAGUUAGCUUUUCCUUGUUUUCCCUUUAAAGCUGAGAAACCUCUCUUUCACUCUUCUCUUUGAUAAAUCUAGGCGCUGGCCAGCAGCGAUUCAAUGUGAUGUUUCUAAUGGCAUCAACGAGUACUACUCACGCCGGAGGCGAGAUAAAUGGUGAUGAGGGGAGUGAUCAGGAUGAUGAUCGUGUCCUAAUUCCUGACAGUUGAAGUUUUGUCGUGUCUUUGAUCAGAUGGGCAACUUUGGAACCUUUGGCAGUACUUCUCGGAUGAGAUGCUUUACGGCUCAGGCAUGCAUAUCCACACCAGUUAAGCUGUUUUUGUAGGAUCUGAAAGGUUUGUAAAAAUUAAAAUUAAUAAGAAAAAAAAUACUUUUUCAUUAUGUAAUACGUAUCGAGCUUGGAUGAAAUGUUAUUGAUGCUCAAGCGAGCUAUUGAUUUCAAAGUUUUUUCGUUGUUUUACUUUGUAUGUUAUUGUGAUUUAAAUGUGUUUCGUUGCUUUCUAUCCUGUACGUGCUAUUCACUUAUUUGCCAUGAAACUAGCCUUAAAAAAAUAUGAUCCAUGGUACGUUGAGUUCAAUAUAAUUUCGUUUCUUCGCUAAUGUAAGUGGCAGCUUUCUGUGCAAUCUGGAAAUGCAAGUUGCAGCUGAGUUCUGUUAUAAAGGCUGAUGGUUACUCCGGAUUUGGGCUAAGGUUGCUAUAAGAUUUCUGUGCAAUCCGGAAAUUAAAGAAAUAAGCCUUUUUAACAGAACUCAGUUUAAGCAAAGGUUGCUAGCUUUAAAAAACUGCAUUCAUUUCUUUUAUUGAACUAGUGAUUAACAAAUUAAAGAAAUA